GAGCGACGUCUGCAUGAAAUUUUAUUGCCACGCAAGGCUAGUCUCUUUUGCUCUACAUGUUCAGUUCCAUUGUGUACAAUAACUCGAAUUUUCCGCAAUGGGCGAAAGCCUGAUAGAGCAAUGCCGCGUGGAGGUGGAAGGCCUACGGGUCAUCAACUUCUCUUCUCAGAGAAGAAACAAUGACGGUAUCUGAGGAAUAAGCAUUCUGUUACUUUGAAAGUAGCUGCU
This 228-nucleotide non-coding RNA is filed under the name Triticum aestivum (bread wheat). RNAcentral's name for it is "Bacterial small subunit ribosomal RNA". It matches the Rfam family "Bacterial small subunit ribosomal RNA", at positions 93 to 519 of the family's 1533-position model. RNAcentral also lists the same sequence under 1 other name. The record is from Rfam by way of RNAcentral. Lineage: Eukaryota; Viridiplantae; Streptophyta; Magnoliopsida; Poales; Poaceae.